CCUACGGGGGGCUGCAGUGGGGAAUAUUGCGCAAUGGGCGAAAGCCUGACGCAGCGACGCCGCGUGAGGGAUGAAGGUCUUCGGAUCGUAAACCUCUGUCAGCAGGGAAGAACGGUCACUGUGCUAAUCAGCAGUGAAUUGACGGUACCUGCAAAGGAAGCACCGGCUAACUCCGUGCCAGCAGCCGCGGUAAUACGGAGGGUGCGAGCGUUAAUCGGAAUUACUGGGCGUAAAGCGCUCGUAGGCGGUAUGUCAAGUCAAGGGUGAAAUCCCCGCGCUCAACGUGGGAACUGCCUUUGAAAAUGGCAAACUGGAGUGUUGGAGAGGAUAGUGGAAUUCCAGGGGUAGGAGUGAAAGCCGAAGAUAUCUGGAGGAACAUCAGGGGCGAGGGCGACUAUCUGGAACAUAACUGACGCUGAGGAGCGAAAGCGUGGGUAGCAAACAGGAUUAGAUACCCGAGUAGUC
RNAcentral lists this ribosomal RNA (465 nucleotides) under uncultured bacterium. RNAcentral describes it as "partial 16S ribosomal RNA". It matches the Rfam family "Bacterial small subunit ribosomal RNA", at positions 338 to 795 of the family's 1533-position model. The record is from RNAcentral.